AAACAACGGCUGGGCUCCCAGGCGGCCACCGGCCAGCCUAUUUUUCUUUACAGUCACCGGUCACCAGGCCAACGGCUGGGACUGUCUAUUUGACAUUUGACUGUUUUACAAUUCAGUAACAUUCACAACUGUUUGUCCCAAAAGCCCCCAACCGGACACUGCAUAAUUCCUUUUAUUUCGGGAUAAACGGGUCAGGCAGAACCCUGACCCGGUUUCAACUAAACCACACCACCACCAAUCCUCGCUGCACCGCUGGACCACAGCAAACAGCUCGCCAUGAACUUGCUACUCACGGAAAUCUCCAGCCCCUCCUACAUAACAUCAUAGAGCUCACCUAACACACAUCACAAAAGGAAGAAACAAAUCAGGCCGAUGGCCAUGGAAGAAGGGUGGGAAGAAGAACAACGAGCAGUUCAAAAUCAGAUAAGGCAGGCAGCCAUGAGAGAGAGGGAUGAAUCUGGAGAGGAAGGUGGAGGUUUACCUAGAGACAAGCGUGAAGGAAGAACAACAACUAGGCAAUUGGGGAAAUCUCAGGAAAAUCAAAAGGUCAGGCACAAAAACUACUGCUACCCCCUAGUACUUCAACUCUUCACCCGCUUCACCUCUCUUACAAGAAAAAUCCACAAAACAAAUGCGUCAGAGAAACAAUCAGUAGACAAGAACUAUAUACUCUGGAAAUAAUUCGUCACUAGCAGUAGAUAGAACUUGGAUAGUUGUAUAAUUUACACUGCAAGCACACAUAGUGCCUGGAUUGACUCUGGAAUGAACAGUAGCACACCAAGAAUUACACUGAAACUGGCUAAAACAGACCAAGGAUUACAGUGCAAAAUCCCCUAGUAAUUACAUAGUACUCCCUCCGUCCUAUGAUGUAAGACGCUUUUUGACACUAGUGUAGUGUCGGAAAACGUCUUACAUUAUGGGACGGAGGGAGUAAUUCCCAGUGCAAAUUGCAUAGAAAUUACAGUGGAAAUUACAUAGAAAAAUACAGUGGAAAAUUGCAUAUAAAUUUUAGUGUAUCAAUGUAAGAAUGCAUCAAAACUUACAUCGGUAGAAACCUAUUGUAUUUACACUGUUAAGAUACUACUGCUAAUUGUACUCUUACUGACAUUCCUUUUCCAAAAAUGCAGAUUGGGAGCACGACAAGAACAAUAACAAAAGAUGAUCUACUAUCAAUGUCACAGGAAGAUAUCAUCCUAAAUGUGAGUACCAAAAUCAGUAGCAAAACACUUGCAUGAGAAUGAUCAGUACAUGAAAAAGAAAAACUCACACACAAAUACAUUGCAAGAGUCAUUUUCAUUUACUGCGUUCCUACAGUCAGGCAUUAUAUACAAGGUAAGAAACUAACCCCCAUAAGUCUCAGCUGAAGACGAUUUGAUUACUUAGCUUCCCCAUUUGCAAUUCAUUAAAAACUAUUUUUAGUAUUACUAUUAUUUCAGUAUUACUAUUACAUCAAGAAUUCUGGUUUAAAAACAUGUCGCAUACAGGUACAUUCGGCUAAUGGUACAACACAACUGAGAGUGGAGGAGUCCGGUAACAAAACACAAAACAGCAAACAACCCAUCAGUACAUUCUACAGUAAGACUAAUGAAAUGGAGAAAAAUUCAUGAAUACACAAAAGUAAGAGAGAAAUUUACAACUUUAGUAUUCUUGUGCAGACAUUUGAAGAACUGGAAAACGAAGCUACACGAAAUGAAGAAGGUGCAGAAGAGCAUAACCCGUGGCAUGCAGACCUGUUUGGCACCAUGAACUUGGAACAAGUGGGUACAUGAAGACAAAAUUUCAGUAAGAUACAUAUCAUAAAAGUUGAAAACUAGUAAGAAAAUUAUGAAUGAGGCGAAAUGCUAAAAAAUGCAGGUAACUGAGGAUGACCCUAGUUCAGCAGCAACACAAGCACACAACACUUGCCAGAAUAAUGAAGAAAGAGAAAGGCCAAAAACAGACCACUCACAUGAACAAGAUGACAACGAAUACCUUGACGAAGAAGACACUGAAAGAUUCCUGCAAAAUGAACAAGAGGCUGCAUCAGAAGGCAAUUUGAUGAACACUAGCAGCAACUUCAAGCCACACCUAGGCAUGCAAUUCAAAACAAAGGAAGAAGGCCAGGAAUAUAUCAACUUCUACUCCAAAAUCGCUGGAUUCUCAGUGGCAGCACUAGCAGCAUCAAGAACAACAAGCAAAAAGAGGAACAAUGAGGUGACCAGAAUAACUAUGAAGUGCAACAAGUGGGGAAUUAAUGAAAAUAAAUAAAAAGAAGCCAAAAUUCAGGAAUUACAUAACUGAAAUCAAUGUAAAUACACUGCAAAAAUGGGGGAAUAUACACUGUAGAUACAAUGUAAACCAUCAUAAUUCUAGGGGAAAUUACACUAGAAUCAGGGGCCAUAUAAAUGUGUCAGGGAUUACAUAGCUAAAAACAUUAAAAAUACACAGUAACUCGUGUAAAUUACACUGGAACUAAGGACAAAUUACAUUGAAACUACAUGAUGAAUUACACAAUAGUUAUUGGGAAAAAUAAAUACAGAUUAAUUCCAUUGAAGCUACAAGAUGAAUUACACAGUAAUUCUUGGGCAAAUUACACAGUAACACUACAACAUGAGUUACACAGUAAGUCUAUAUUGAAUUACACCCGACAACUACAAAGAUGAAUUACAACUACAAAGAUGAAUUACACAGUAAAUUCUAUAUUGAAUUACACUGAAACUGCAUGAUGAAAUUACACAGUAAAUUCUAUAUUGAAUUACACUGAAACUGCAGGAUGAAUUACACAGUAAUUCUAUAUUGAAUUACACUGACAACUACAAAGAUACAUAGUAAUUCUAUAGUAAAAUUACACUGAAACUACAUGAUGAGUUACACAGUAAAUUACACUGAAACUACAUGAUGAAUUACACAGUAAAAAUGUGGCAAAAUACACAGUAAAAACUACUAAUUCUAGAGAGAGAGAAACACUGAAACUAUAGGCUGAAUUACAUAGUAACUACCGUGCAAUUUGCAUAGUAUAUUACAUUGAAACUAUGGGGAUUACACAGUAAGUCUGACACAAAAAAUACACAAUAAAAUUCUAGUAAUUCUAGAGUGAAAAAACAUUGAAACUAUGGGCUGUAUGGGCUGAAUUACAUAGUAACUACAAUGCAAUUUGCAUGGUAUAUUACACUGAAACUGAGGGGAUUAGCAAGUAAGACUCAGGCAAAAAAUACACAGUAAUUCUAAUGUAUGCCACUGAAACUCUAGGGUUACACAUCAACACUCGGCACAACCAAAAGAUACAAACCUGCAUCAGAUACACAGUUACCAGGGGCAUUGCAGAAAGCUUAAAAAGAAUACAUUGCAGAAGCACAUAAAAAACACCCCCAGGCAACUAGGAGGAACCUAAGUACAUCUAAACUACGAGGAACAUAUGCACUUGCAGGACAAAAGGGGACCUGCAACAGAGGGCAUAGGAGGAACCUAACUACAUAUAAACCUACCGAAAUCCAAACAUAUACAGACCCUAGAACCAACACGGCCAGAGGAGGGCAAACACCCAUCUGCCAGCAAUCAAGCGAACCACCUACCAACACAAAACUGAUCCAUACAUCUAUCUGAAUCACAAACUAGUCACGCAUGAACCUACCACGAGCAGAGGAAGAACUCAAUGGCGGACAACACGAAGCAGACAAGGAACUAUGGCGGGACAACGUGAACCAUAACGAACCACAAAAACUACAAGCACCUACCAUGAAUCUACAGCACCACGGCCCUGGAACACAACACACACCUACCACGAACCCUAACAAAAUCACAUCAGCAAACUGACCUCCUAGAUCUGGAACCUAUACACCGAGAAAUGAACAAAAAACAUGCGCUCGCGAGAGAAAAUGAGAGACCAACCAACCGCAGGAGGCGAGAAUCAAAGAGAAAUUGGAAAGGAAUCAAGCUCCACGGGUGGGGGAUUUGAGAAUCGACAUGAACAGAAAGGAAUCGCCUCCGCCGCCCGAGCGCGUGUUCCUCUCUCUGCCUCGCUAUCUCCUCUCUCCCUUGUCGCUAUAGUACCGCUCAAAUGAAAAGGGAAAACCACGCCCAGAAUUCAAAUAGGACAAAAACCG
This 4082-nucleotide long non-coding RNA is filed under the name Triticum aestivum (bread wheat). RNAcentral describes it as "long non-coding RNA (TAES_LNC010372)". The stretch from base 848 to 934 matches the Rfam family "MIR1120/MIR1122 microRNA precursor family". The record is from RNAcentral. Lineage: Eukaryota; Viridiplantae; Streptophyta; Magnoliopsida; Poales; Poaceae.